This is a non-coding RNA of Procambarus clarkii (red swamp crayfish), 1095 nucleotides long. NCBI's taxonomy places the organism in Eukaryota, Metazoa, Arthropoda, Malacostraca, Decapoda, Cambaridae. The record is from RefSeq and is a predicted model, not a curated record.
AACGCUACGCGUACUAGUAGCUGUACAAGAAUGUAACAACUCUUGUAUAUAGCUCAAAAAAAAAAAAGUUACCGUCAGAAACAAAGAAAACGACCGAAGGGGAGAACGGGGAGAACACGACCUGACUGUGAUACACCCAGUCAGAUCACCCGGAAACUCUCCGGUCUCGUCACCCCUAAAUCAACACAACUCUCCGGUCUUUGAUUAUCAAACUCUGCAGCUGGAUGUGACAAGGAUAAUUCACCCUGUGGUCUCUGUUGGGCUCUCUACAGAUUUUCAGGGUAUAUUUCUGGCACGUAAACUAUGCAGAGGAAGGUGGUCUCGGCUUAAUGGAACUUCAGCACCUUCCCUCCUAAUUUCUCUGUUGAAACUUCAAAUUCACCAAAGACUACCUCAACUACCAAUUGGCAUAAAUAAUAAUAACAGACAUAAUUCCAAGACUGUACGUGGAGCAACAUUUCAACUCCUGCACUCUGCAAUGCCUCCAGUGGGAAAUCUGAUGACAAAGGUCUUUUGCAUCAACAAAGGGUGUCCUAAAUGGCAUUGGACUUUCCCAGUGCUUCAGAAAAAGUGUUUAACACUAUCGCACUCUGAGCCCUCCUAUUAUCGUCAUAAGUUUUUCUCCUUAAUGUAAUCCGAUGACUAUCUCACUCGUCAUAAACUAAAAUAUUUGUAAAAAGUUAAAUUUUCAUCCGAUCAACUUCUAGGUGGUUUCAAAAUGAGCGCCUUUAGAUUGCACACAAUUUGAUACCAAAAUGAAAGACGUAGCACGAAAAUUAUGUUAUCAAACUGAACGAGUAUAUACAUUAGUCUGCAGGUGUGCCAAUUGGUGUUCGUUCACGGGUAACUUGGCCGACUUUAGGCUUUGCUGUGGGACUCGCUCCGGGCUUUUAGAUCUUAUAUGCAUAUACCCCUAUAGAGAAUUCUAUUGUGAACACAAUGAUACCAAAAUGAAUGAUGUAGCACGAGAAAUAAAGGCGAGAAAACUGAAGAGAGUAUAUACAUUUUACUGAUUUUGCGCGCUGACAAGUAACUUGGCUGACUUUAGGCUUUAUAACACACAGAAAUCACACUAACGUGAUGCAUCAAAUGAAC